RNAcentral lists this ribosomal RNA (289 nucleotides) under uncultured Planctomycetales bacterium. RNAcentral describes it as "partial 16S ribosomal RNA". Lineage: Bacteria; Pseudomonadati; Planctomycetota; Planctomycetia; Planctomycetales. The record is from RNAcentral.
CUACACGGGUAUCUAAUCCCGUUCGCUCCCCUAGCUUUCGUGCCUCAGCGUCAGAAGAGACCCAGUGAGCUGCUUUCGCCUCAGGUGUUCCUAAUGAUAUCAACGCAUUUCACCGCUCCACCAUUAGUUCCGCUCACCUCUGCCUCCCUCAAGCUUGGUAGUUUUGAGCGCAAUUCCUCGGUUGAGCCGAGGGAUUUCACACCCAACUUUCCAAGCCGCCUACGCACUCUUUAAGCCCAGUGAUUCCGAAUAACGUUCGUACGGUUCGUAUUACCGCGGCUGCUGGCAC